Molecule: ribosomal RNA, 460 nt
Filed under: uncultured bacterium
Lineage: Bacteria
Description: partial 16S ribosomal RNA
Rfam family: Bacterial small subunit ribosomal RNA
Source: RNAcentral
CCUACGGGGGGCAGCAGUGAGGAAUAUUGGUCAAUGGACGAGAGUCUGAACCAGCCAAGUAGCGUGAAGGAUGACUGCCCUAUGGGUUGUAAACUUCUUUUAUAUGGGAAUAAAAUGUUCCACGUGUGGGAUUUUGUAUGUACCAUAUGAAUAAGGAUCGGCUAACUCCGUGCCAGCAGCCGCGGUAAUACGGAGGAUCCGAGCGUUAUCCGGAUUUAUUGGGUUUAAAGGGAGCGUAGGUGGAUUGUUAAGUCGGUUGUGAAAGUUUGCGGCUCAACCGAAAAAUUGCAGUUGAAACUGGCAGUCUUGAGUACAGUAGAGGUGGGCGGAAUUCGUGGUGUAGCGGUGAAAUGCUUAGAUAUCACGAAGAACUCCGAUUGCGAAGGCAGUUCACUGGACUGCAACUGACACUGAGGCUCGAAAGUGUGGGUAUCAAACAGGAUUAGAUACCCCAGUAGUC